This 443-nucleotide ribosomal RNA is filed under the name uncultured bacterium. RNAcentral describes it as "partial 16S ribosomal RNA". It matches the Rfam family "Bacterial small subunit ribosomal RNA", at positions 338 to 795 of the family's 1533-position model. The record is from RNAcentral.
CCUACGGGAGGCAGCAGUGGGGAAUAUUGGGCAAUGGGCGCAAGCCUGACCCAGCAACGCCGCGUGAAGGAAGAAGGCUUUCGGGUUGUAAACUUCUUUUCUCAGGGACGAAGAAAGUGACGGUACCUGAGGAAUAAGCCACGGCUAACUACGUGCCAGCAGCCGCGGUAAUACGUAGGUGGCAAGCGUUAUCAGGAUUUACUGGGUGUAAAGGGCGAGUAGGGGGGGACGCAAGUCAGAUGUGAAAACCACGGGCUCAACCUGUGGCCUGCAUUUGAAACUGUGUUUCUUGAGUACUGGAGAGGCAGACGGAAUUCCUAGUGUAGCGGUGAAAUGCGUAGAUAGUAGGAGGAACACCAGUGGCGAAGGCGGUCUGCUGGACAGCAACUGACGCUGAGGCGCGAAAGCGUGGGGAGCAAACAGGAUUAGAUACCCCAGUAGUC